Populus euphratica (Euphrates poplar) is the source of this 2671-nucleotide RNA transcript. It is a transcript of the gene named Zinc-finger domain of monoamine-oxidase A repressor R1 protein, with no coding region annotated. Lineage: Eukaryota; Viridiplantae; Streptophyta; Magnoliopsida; Malpighiales; Salicaceae. The record is from RefSeq and is a predicted model, not a curated record. The transcript has 14 exons.
UUCGAAUACAGAGAAGCCUAGCCUUUAAUGCCGUUGUCCCCGUAAUGAUUUCCAAGUAUAAAAACUCUCGGGAGGAGGUCGUUCCAUCACCGAACACUUGAAACAUUUUUCGGCCAUGGCCUGCAUUAAGAAAUGAGAUGAAAAGUCAUCAAACUGACAAAGAAACAGAAGAAAGACGAAGAAACCCUCAAAAAGAGAAUAGUUUUGCAGCCAUGGCAGUCACUUCAAGUCCUGCUGAUUUGAAUGGAAAAGAAGUUGUAGAGAAGAGUCAGGCAAAGUGUCCGGGAGUUCGUGUUGUUGGAGGGAGGAUCUAUGAUUCUCAAAACGGGAAGACCUGCCAUCAAUGCCGACAAAAAACAAUGGAUUUCAUUGCCGCAUGUACUACUCAGAAAGGAAAUAAACUAUGCACUCUCAAGUUCUGCCACAAAUGCCUAUUGAACAGAUACGGAGAGAAAGCAGAAGAGGUAGCUUUGUUGGAUGACUGGCAGUGUCCCAAGUGUAGGGGCAUUUGCAACUGUAGCUUCUGCAUGAAGAGACGAGGUCACAAGCCCACUGGCAUACUUGUUCGCACAGCCAAGGAAAAUGGGUUCUCCUCUGUCUCAGAACUGCUGCAGGUUAAAGGUUCUGAAAAUUUGAACCACUACAAGGAUGUAAAAGACAACAAUGUUUCACUGAAGAGUAGUGCAUUGUCAGAGGAGGAGUCUACAGUUACUUUGCCACGGAAAUCAGGGAAUGAAGAUUCUUUUGAAGAAGACAUUGAUAUGAAUUUGCAUUCUCAGAAUUUAACACCCAUCUCUUUUGGGAAGAAAUCUAAUAAAACAAAAAGGAAAGGACCAGAGGAAGUUAGUGAUGGCAACAUGGAUGCUGAAACUAGGUUAAAGGAGAGUGGUCAGAAGAAAUCAAAAAAGGAAGGGACUAAGGAAGUUAGUAAUGGCGGUAGGAAUGGUGAAGCUGGUUCAAAGGCUAGAAUUACUGCAGAGGUUUCUGAAAACAAAGCGAAGACCAAUGACAAGGAUAAAUGUGAUGUUGUCAAGGACAAGAAUGAAGAUGCUUUUGUGGAGAAAAAGAGGUCUAAGACACAGGCUCAAGAGUUUUCCAACAAUGAAGUUUUACUCGGUACAAAUUAUUAUGGUGGUAUAGUUUGUGGUGUUAGAAAUGACAGAAUUCGAACCGAGACCAAGAAGGAUGGAGACUCAUGCAAAGUUAACAAGUUUCCUUCAGAAUUUCAAACCAAAUCAAAGACAGCCAAUGAGAGGCGGCUUACCACAGAAAUUCAGAACAAAGAAAUUGAUGCGGACAUUAAGUUACCUCAGGGAACCUGCUUAAUGGCUGUAGCAGGUUUUGAGUUGCCUCCUGAAGAUGUCGGUAAUGCAUUGCAAUUCUUGGAGUUUUGUGCUAGUUUUGGUAAGGUUCUUGGUCUGAAGAAAGGGCAAGCUGAUACUAUACUUGGAGAAAUUGUAAAUGGUCAUAGAGAGCGUCGGUCACAAUCCUAUCACCUAGCCCAGAUUCAUGUUCAGUUACUAUCAGUGAUACAAAAGGAUAUAGGAGAAGAAUCUCCCACCCUAACUGCAACAAAUGACAACUCAUGGUUUAAAGCUCUCAGUAAAUGUGUCUCGAAAUGCCUUUUCAUAGCGAAAGAAAUUCUCUCUGGCAGUUUUGACCUGGACAAUGAAGGAUAUGAUAACUUAAAGAGCUCUGAAAAGCUUAAACUCUUGAAUUUUCUAUGUGAUGAAGCUCUUAAUACCAGAGAGUUGAGGAGUUGGAUUGAUGAUGAAAACUCCAAAUUUCUUGAAAGAAAGAAGGGAGCUAAGGAAAAAGUUUAUGCAGCAAAGGAAAAGGAAAAAAACUUGAAAAGGAAGAUGCAAGAUGAGGUGGCCAAAGCUAUUAUUGAGAAAAACGGUGCUCCCAAUUCUGUUUCUAAUCAUAAAGAACUAGUCUCACAAAUAAAAAGUGAAGCCGCACAAGCUCAUGCAGAAAUGCUUGAGGCCAUGGGCAUGGCACAAAAGAAGAGACUAUCCAACGCUGUCAGAACAGACCCUGUCCUUCUGGAUGUUGAUGGCCGUGCUUUCUGGAAACUAAAUGGUCAUGAUUGUCAGUCAGCUAUUUUGCUUCAAGAUAUGGGUGCAUGGAAUUCUGUUGCACCCAGUGAAAAAUGGGUAGCAUAUGCUGAUGAACAGAAAAUGGACAUUGAAAAAUACAUCUCUUUCUCGAGGGCAAAAAUGUGUAGGGUUCAACAAAAAGCUAUUGAAACCCCUUCAAUUGAAAUUGAUACUGGAACCUCUUCAAUUGAUAUUUGAUGAAACAAAGUCGGAAUGAUUUUCUGAUGUCCAUCGUCUGACAAAAAAAAAAUUGAGAUCAAGUGGAAAAUACAGAGGUUCGGUUGCUUCAUGGUCAAUAGCACCUGAAGUUAUUGACAACUUCUAUUUAACAUUUGUUGCUUGCUCGAGAUAAAGAUGAAAGAUCAUUCUUUUAGAGGAAAAACUGCUGCUGUAUGCGAUCCUCCUUGCAAAGGUUAUUUCCUUAUGUACACUAUUGUUAGGGGCAAGCUUUACAAAUACUAGGCUUGCUGCUUCCUUGAUUUCUUGCUUGGGAACUGCAAUUGUAGUAGCUGGAUACAUUGUAAUAAAAAGGAAUUCCUCAAAUAUAUUUAUUUGAUUUGCUUUCUUGUACA